This 253-nucleotide ribosomal RNA is filed under the name uncultured bacterium. RNAcentral's name for it is "partial 16S ribosomal RNA". It matches the Rfam family "Bacterial small subunit ribosomal RNA", at positions 524 to 776 of the family's 1533-position model. The record is from RNAcentral. RNAcentral also lists the same sequence under 1 other name.
GACGAACCGUCCAAACGUUAUUCGGAAUUACUGGGCUUAAAGGGUGCGUAGGCGGCGCGGAAAGUUGGGUGUGAAAUCCCUCGGCUCAACCGAGGAACUGCGCUCAAUACUGCCGUGCUCGAGGGAGAUAGAGGUGAGCGGAACUUAGGGUGGAGCGGUGAAAUGCGUUGAUAUCCUAAGGAACACCGGUGGCGAAAGCGGCUCACUGGAUCUCUUCUGACGCUGAGGCACGAAAGCUAGGGUAGCAAACGGG